RNAcentral lists this transfer RNA (77 nucleotides) under Ruficoccus amylovorans. RNAcentral describes it as "tRNA-Val". It matches the Rfam family "tRNA". From Rfam's summary of the family: Transfer RNA (tRNA) molecules are approximately 80 nucleotides in length. Their secondary structure includes four short double-helical elements and three loops (D, anti-codon, and T loops). Further hydrogen bonds mediate the characteristic L-shaped molecular structure. tRNAs have two regions of fundamental functional importance: the anti-codon, which is responsible for specific mRNA codon recognition, and the 3' end, to which the tRNAs corresponding amino acid is attached (by aminoacyl-tRNA synthetases). tRNAs cope with the degeneracy of the genetic code in two manners: having more than one tRNA (with a specific anti-codon) for a particular amino acid; and 'wobble' base-pairing, i.e. permitting non-standard base-pairing at the 3rd anti-codon position. RNAcentral also lists the same sequence under 1 other name. Lineage: Bacteria; Pseudomonadati; Verrucomicrobiota; Opitutia; Puniceicoccales; Cerasicoccaceae. The record is from RNAcentral.
GGUCGUUUAGCUCAGUUGGUUAGAGCGCUACAUUCACAUUGUAGAAGUCACUGGUUCGAGUCCAGUAACGACCACCA